Molecule: ribosomal RNA, 494 nt
Filed under: uncultured bacterium
Lineage: Bacteria
Description: partial 16S ribosomal RNA
Rfam family: Bacterial small subunit ribosomal RNA
Source: RNAcentral
GACGAACGCUGGCGGCGUGCCUAAUACAUGCAAGUAGAACGCUGAAGGAGGAGCUUGCUUCUCUGGAUGAGUUGCGAACGGGUGAGUAACGCGUAGGUAACCUGCCUGGUAGCGGGGGAUAACUAUUGGAAACGAUAGCUAAUACCGCAUAAGAGUAGAUGUUGCAUGACAUUUGCUUAAAAGGUGCAAUUGCAUCACUACCAGAUGGACCUGCGUUGUAUUAGCUAGUUGGUGGGGUAACGGCUCACCAAGGCGACGAUACAUAGCCGACCUGAGAGGGUGAUCGGCCACACUGGGACUGAGACACGGCCCAGACUCCUACGGGAGGCAGCAGUAGGGAAUCUUCGGCAAUGGACGGAAGUCUGACCGAGCAACGCCGCGUGAGUGAAGAAGGUUUUCGGAUCGUAAAGCUCUGUUGUAAGAGAAGAACGAGUGUGAGAGUGGAAAGUUCAGACUGUGACGGUAUCUUACCAGAAAGGGACGGCUAACUACGU